AUGCCAUUGACACAGGCUCAACUUAUAACAUAGUUGAAUGGAUGGUAUACAAGCAAAACCUCGGACCCCAUGGCGUUCAGGGAACGGGCCUUUGUCAACACAACUGGCGAGAUCCUAAAGGCCAACUUCAAGUGUGCCACAGCGAAACUCAACCAGAUCAUUUUCUACAUUUUGAAAAACUACGACCAGAGAAUGACCACUGAUGAUCAAAUGAUGCUUACCAGGUUACGACAGAUUUUGGAAGACUACAUGCCCCCCUCCGACCUUGACUCAUUCGCCAACAUACUAGUAGUUGUGAAGACUGCCCACGAUCGGUUGUUCCGCGAUAUGAUGGAUUUCAUCAGAUAUUUCCAGUUUGAAGGUUUACAGGACUUUUUUGAGCAACUGCGUUUUUUCUGACUCAAGCGGGCGAGGCAAAGUGAGCUGUUCCAUUUGACGAGAAAAGUAUGAUGCAGGAGAACGGCUUUGAUUCACUUGUCCUCCCCUAGUACCAUGUGGGCAUUUCACGGAGAAAUCGCCAAAAGUUUCAAAGAAAAGGUUUCCAUGAUGAAGCAUUUGGCUAAGGCAAAGGGCUGGUUGACGGGAUUCCUUGGGAAAUACACGACCUCUGCACCCCGUUACCGUUAUUAACGAAAUCCUCCAACUCUACAGUACCUACACCAAAAAGGCAGUGGAAGAGUUCACGCAGGUGGAGAUGCAAAUAUCCACAGGAUACAUGGAUCAAUUAGAGACGUUCUUAAGCAAGUUUCUCUCAACUAGCAAGAUCCAGUAUAUGAAAUCGAUCUUUGUAGAACUCAAAAAAUUCCCGGGCACAGAUGAUGGCGAAAGUGACAUGAGGAUGCCCCAUCUCCAUAAUUG
Long non-coding RNA from Magallana angulata, 858 nucleotides. RefSeq lists it as uncharacterized. The transcript is spliced from 5 exons. NCBI's taxonomy places the organism in Eukaryota, Metazoa, Mollusca, Bivalvia, Ostreida, Ostreidae. The record is from RefSeq and is a predicted model, not a curated record.